Long non-coding RNA from Podarcis raffonei (Aeolian wall lizard), 360 nucleotides. RefSeq lists it as uncharacterized. The transcript has 2 exons. NCBI's taxonomy places the organism in Eukaryota, Metazoa, Chordata, Lepidosauria, Squamata, Lacertidae. The record is from RefSeq and is a predicted model, not a curated record.
CCAAUGUGAAGGUCCUCAAGCCAAUCCCUCGUUCUGAUUGGUUCUCCUCCCGGCCAAUCCCGAAACGGCCCGAGCGCCUUGUGCAGCUUUCAAGGGAUGCUCCUAUACCUUGAAACUUUUUCCUGCUAAGUCAUAUCGGAUGCAGGAUGUUCCCGCGACUUCGUUACCAGCCAUGGUUGAGGCAGCAUCCGCAGAGUUGAAUAGCUUUGCAAAAAGAAUGUAACAGCUACUUGACUCAAGACAUAUAUGGAUUUCCGCUGGAAUGUUUGUGGACCCUUGCAGUCUCAUCUUCUGAUGCACAUUUCCUAGUAGUCUCAAUGUCUGCAUCUAAUGAAUAAACUGUGAAUCUCUUGUCGGUUA